CAACAGUUGGAAACGACUGCUAAUACCGCAUAAUGUAUCCGGGAGGCAUCUCCUGGAUACCAAAGGAGAAAUCCGCUGAUGGAUGGGCUCACGUCUGAUUAGCUAGUUGGUGAGGUAACGGCUCACCAAGGCUGCGAUCAGUAGCCGGACUGAGAGGUUGAACGGCCACAUUGGGACUGAGAUACGGCCCAGACUCCUACGGGAGGCAGCAGUGGGGAAUAUUGGGCAAUGGGCGAAAGCCUGACCCAGCAACGCCGCGUGAAGGAAGAAGGCCUUCGGGUUGUAAACUUCUUUUAAGAGGGACGAAGAAGUGACGGUACCUCUUGAAUAAGCCACGGCUAACUACGUGCCAGCAGCCGCGGUAAUACGUAGGUGGCGAGCGUUAUCCGGAUUUACUGGGUGUAAAGGGCGCGUAGGCGGGAAUGCAAGUCAGAUGUGAAAUCCAAGGGCUCAACCCUUGAACUGCAUUUGAAACUGUAUUUCUUGAGUGUCGGAGAGGUUGACGGAAUUCCUAGUGUAGCGGUGAAAUGCGUAGAUAUUAGGAGGAACACCAGUGGCGAAGGCGGUCAACUGGACGAUAACUGACGCUGAGGCGCGAAAGCGUGGGGAGCAAACAGGAUUAGAUACCCUGGUAGUCCACGCCGU
Molecule: ribosomal RNA, 645 nt
Filed under: uncultured bacterium
Lineage: Bacteria
Description: bacterial SSU rRNA
Rfam family: Bacterial small subunit ribosomal RNA
Source: RNAcentral